AGGUUGUUCCUCUGCUGGAAGAGCACGUGCCUCGCCUGGCCUCUUUGUCUGGACACCUUCUUUUCUUUAAGAAUCCACCCAGGAAUGGCUCCUGACGCUUCCAGGUCUGCAGAAAGCCAUCCCCGGCCCCUUCCUCACCCAGCCUGAGCGCUGUUCUCCCCUGCAGUGCCCACACAGUUCCCGGUGUGAACGGCUGACAUCCCGUUCACAUCGGCCUCCUGUACUGCACCCUGAGCUUGUGAGCUCUGUGACAGCAAAGGGCUUAUGUGAAGGGCGUUUGGCACCUUCCACAUGGAGGUGAACCCAUUUACCUUGUUAAUUCCAUUUGCUCCCACCUCUUAGGUACCUGCAUAUUUCUAUCCUUCAGAUUUCCUAGCACUGGGCCUUAUAACAGCAUUUCUUAAAAUGGGGUCCCCAGUCCAACAGCAUCAGCAUCACAUGGGAAUUUGCUAGAAAUGCAACUUUUGGAGCCCUCCUUGGACCUCUGGGAUCUAAAACUCUGCAGUGAGAACACGAGACUUUUGAAAAAACACAGACGAUGAAACUAUGUGCUCUUUCAGCCAAUACAAUGUGGGAAGUUUUUCUGUUUGUUAAAAUAAUUCAGGUCCUUACAGGGUAGCUUGGUGUAAAUGUGGCCACAGACUCUCAGUUUGGGUCCUCUCAUCUGGUCCUCCACCGUCUAAGGCCAGCACACCAUUCCUGAAGCCCAGCUUCACACCCUGGAUUUUACCCCUCAUCCCUUGAGGACCCGAAGACAAACAGCCUUGUCAACGCACUAGUGCUUUGUCUCACCUCAACUGCAAAGUGGCCAUGGGGUCUUCACCAGCAGCUGGGGAGGAUGCUCCAGAAACUGGCCCUGAUAGCUUUGCCCUGUAACUUGACUGGAUUGCAACCACUAUGGAGUUGGGUCAGACACAACCACUGGGCAGCUGACACGAGAUCUGCACAUUUGUUACUAGAAGAGCCAGAAGGCCACCCACUGUUCCUCCUAGUGAACCACUGGCAGAGCAGGUAUGGCUUAGAGCCCAGUUUCAUGCUUGACUACUGAUAUGGUUUGGCUGUGUUCCACCCAAAUCUCAUCUUGAAUUUUAGCUCCCACAAUUCCCACAUGUUGUGGGAGGGACCUGAUUGGAGGUAAUUGAAUCAUGGGGGCAGGUCAUUCCCAUGCUGUUCUCAUGAUAAUGAAUAAGUCUCAUGAGAUCUGAUGGUUUUAUAAGGGGAAACCCCUUUCGCUUGACGCUCAUUUUCUUUUCUUUUCUGCUGCCAUGUGAGAUGUGCCUUUCACCUUCCACCAUGAUUAUGAGGCCUCCCCUGCCAUGUGGAACUAACUGGAAGGAGACAUGGCUUGCAUCAACAGCAACAGAGAUGGGCCCCACAGUUGCCACUGCCUUCGCCAGGUCCUUCUCCCAUGAAGUUCACAGAUGUGGGGAUCUCAAGAAGCAGACGUUCCUGGAACUCUUUCCCCUUCCUGUGCUUCUGGUAUUGAAAACCAUUCAUCACCUGCCUGAAUUCUUAAUUAGUCUUCAAGGAAAAGUAAAUAAAAUGUUAAAAAGCAAGAGAUUGAUUUGGUAAAGAACUGAGGAGA
RNAcentral lists this long non-coding RNA (1585 nucleotides) under Homo sapiens (human). Its description in RNAcentral is "HSALNT0353394". Lineage: Eukaryota; Metazoa; Chordata; Mammalia; Primates; Hominidae. The record is from RNAcentral.